UUGCAUGGCUGUCCCCCCUUGGGGUCGGGAUAUGUUAGGUUAAGUCCCUCAACGAGCGCAAACCUUGUCCUUAUUUGCCAGCGGAUAAUGGGGGGAACUCUAAGGAGAUCGCCGGUGACCACCCGGAGGAAGGCGGGGACGACUUAAAUCAUCAUGGCCAUUAUCGGGGGGCUACACACUUGCUAGAAUGCGUUGCACAAAGGGGUACACACCGAAAAGGUGAACUAAUCCCAAAAACCCUCCCUUAGUCCGAAUUGAAGUCUAGCAACUCAACUCCUUGAAUCGAAAUCGCUAGAAA
Molecule: ribosomal RNA, 298 nt
Filed under: uncultured Gammaproteobacteria bacterium
Lineage: Bacteria; Pseudomonadati; Pseudomonadota; Gammaproteobacteria
Description: partial 16S ribosomal RNA
Rfam family: Bacterial small subunit ribosomal RNA
Source: RNAcentral